Molecule: long non-coding RNA, 134 nt
Organism: Homarus americanus (American lobster)
Lineage: Eukaryota; Metazoa; Arthropoda; Malacostraca; Decapoda; Nephropidae
Exons: 3
Source: RefSeq, a predicted model, not a curated record
GUGUUUGUGAGAGACUAAGGGAGGUGUUUGUGGUGUUUGUGAGAGAGACUAAGGGAGGUGUUUGUGAGAGAGACUAAGGGAGGUGUUUGUGGUGUUUGUGAGAGAGACUAAGGGAGGUGUUUGUGGUGUUUGUG